CUGGUCUAGUAAACCAGGGGUCGAGAGUUCAAUUCUCUCUGGGGGCA
This 47-nucleotide transfer RNA is filed under the name Trichobilharzia regenti. It matches the Rfam family "tRNA", at positions 26 to 71 of the family's 71-position model. Rfam says of the family: Transfer RNA (tRNA) molecules are approximately 80 nucleotides in length. Their secondary structure includes four short double-helical elements and three loops (D, anti-codon, and T loops). The record is from Rfam by way of RNAcentral. Lineage: Eukaryota; Metazoa; Platyhelminthes; Trematoda; Strigeidida; Schistosomatidae.